GUGGGGAAUAUUGCGCAAUGGGGGAAACCCUGACGCAGCAAUACCGCGUGAGUGAAGAAGGUUUUCGGAUCGUAAAACUCUUUUAUUGGGGAAGAAGAAGUGACGGUACCCAAUGAAGAAGUCCCGGCUAACUACGUGCCAGCAGCCGCGGUAAUACGUAGGGGACAAGCGUUGUCCGGAAUCACUGGGCAUAAAGGGCGCGUAGGCGGUUUUAUAAGUCAGAUGUGAAAGGUACCGGCUCAACCGGUGACGUGCAUUUGAAACUGUAAGACUUGAGUACUGGGGAGGCAAGUGGAAUUCCUAGUGUAGCGGUGAAAUGCGUAGAUAUUAGGAGGAACACCGGUGGCGAAGGCGGCUUGCUGGACAGAUACUGACGCUGAGGUGCGAAAGCGUGGGGAGCGAACAGGAUUAGAAACCCGUGUAGUCC
RNAcentral lists this ribosomal RNA (427 nucleotides) under uncultured bacterium. RNAcentral describes it as "partial 16S ribosomal RNA". It matches the Rfam family "Bacterial small subunit ribosomal RNA", at positions 354 to 796 of the family's 1533-position model. The record is from RNAcentral.